This is a long non-coding RNA of Triticum aestivum (bread wheat), 517 nucleotides long. RefSeq lists it as uncharacterized. NCBI's taxonomy places the organism in Eukaryota, Viridiplantae, Streptophyta, Magnoliopsida, Poales, Poaceae. The transcript is spliced from 3 exons. The record is from RefSeq and is a predicted model, not a curated record.
UCCCCUUCACCGAGCCGGACGCGCCGCCGCGCGCACGCCGAGGCCGAUCCGGAUCGAUCCGACGCCUGGUCCGACCCCGUGCACCCCUGGGACUCCCCGCUCGAGCAAAAGGCCAUCGGGAACCCUAGCGCACGCCCUCCCCUUUCUUUUCUCGUCUGCUCGAAGCCGCUGCGCCGUCUGGAUCUCGCCGGAGGAGCUCCGAGGCCGCCGUUGUUGACCGUCCGAAUCCACCGCUAUCACCAGAACGAUGCCGCCGCCGACGCCCAACUUCGCCGGGGCACCACCGUGGUUCACCUCGUCGCUACCGCCCGCAGAGGACGCCCCGCCGCCGUUGAACACCACCACCACCUCCGCCACUCACCGCCGCACCCAUCCGUCGCUUCACCUUCGCCGGAGACUCGCCGGAGAGCCACCGCCGCCGACGCCCGAAGCCGCCGCCGUUUUCCUCUGCUUCUGAUUGUCCGGAGUGCGACGCGAACUAUUGUCAGGAGUGUGACUUUCUGAACCAGAACCAAGG